RNAcentral lists this ribosomal RNA (378 nucleotides) under uncultured bacterium. RNAcentral's name for it is "bacterial SSU rRNA". It matches the Rfam family "Bacterial small subunit ribosomal RNA", at positions 521 to 896 of the family's 1533-position model. The record is from RNAcentral.
UAAGACGGAGGGUGCAAACGUUGCUCGGAAUCACUGGGCAUAAAGCGCACGUAGGCGGCCAACUAAGUCAGGUGUGAAAGCCCCCGGCUCAACCGGGGAAUUGCUCCUGAUACUGGUUGGCUAGAGGACGGUAGGGGUGAGUGGAACUCCAGGUGGAGCGGUGAAAUGCGUAGAUAUCUGGAGGAACACCGGUGGCGAAAGCGGCUCACUGGACCGUGUCUGACGCUGAGGUGCGAAAGCUAGGGUAGCGAACGGGAUUAGAUACCCCGGUAGUCCUAGCCGUAAACGAUGGGCACUAGGUAGGGGGUAGGCCUAUGCUAUUCCCUGUCGUAGCUAAUGUGUUAAGUGCCCCGCCUGGGGAGUACGCUCGCAAGGGUA